Molecule: ribosomal RNA, 253 nt
Filed under: uncultured bacterium
Lineage: Bacteria
Description: partial 16S ribosomal RNA
Rfam family: Bacterial small subunit ribosomal RNA
Source: RNAcentral
UACGUAGGGGGCUAGCGUUGUCCGGAUUUAUUGGGCGUAAAGAGCGUGUAGGCGGCCAGGUAGGUCUGGUGUGAAAACUCGAGGCUUAACCUCGAGAUGUCAUCGGAAACCAUUUGGCUAGAGUCCGGAAGAGGAGAGUGGAAUUCCCAGUGUAGCGGUGAAAUGCGUAGAUAUUGGGAGGAACACCAGUGGCGAAGGCGGCUCACUGGACCGGUUCUGACGCUGAUGCGCGAAAGCGUGGGGAGCAAACGGG